RNAcentral lists this long non-coding RNA (543 nucleotides) under Calidris pugnax (ruff). RNAcentral's name for it is "lncRNA (ENSCPUG00000016799.1)". Lineage: Eukaryota; Metazoa; Chordata; Aves; Charadriiformes; Scolopacidae. The record is from RNAcentral.
UAUCGCUUGUGUUAAUGUUUAAUGGUAUGGUACCAGGCUGUACCCUGUUACUUUCAGAACACUUACAUAUCGUUUUGAGAGAUAAUGCAUCUCCUGCCUCAAUACCAGUGCCCGAGACCAGCUGCGCCACUGAGAUGGGCUGCUUUCUGCUGCUGCUGCCCACCACUGGUCACCAGAGCCUCACCUCCCGUUCCCAUGCCAUCACCCGCGUCCCUGCUCGUUAACACACCAUAAUCUUUCUGCUGGUGAGAGACAUAGGUAAGAGAAGUACUUAAGAAGGCACCUCUGUGCUGCAGAAACAGAGAUCUGAAAAAACACCCCAAUAAUUUAUAGGCUCUUACCCUCUUCAGCAGUUGGCUAAGCUGCUUCGGUUUCUCCCCCUUCUCUCUUUGUUUUGUAUUUAACACUUUCGCAAGAGGACAGAAAAUGUGUUCCUUGUCCAGAGGAGUGCUCUGGCCGUCCCCCUCCACCGGGGCCAGGGUGUGGGUGGCCAGAGCUCAGCCUCCUCGCCGGGACCACCAGUAGCACAAUGUGGCAACCAGC